Xyrichtys novacula (pearly razorfish) is the source of this 104-nucleotide non-coding RNA. NCBI's taxonomy places the organism in Eukaryota, Metazoa, Chordata, Actinopteri, Labriformes, Labridae. The record is from the annotation of a GenBank genome assembly.
UACCUGGUAAUAACCUGGUUAUUACCUGGUUAUUACCUGGUUAUAACCUGAGACAUUACCUGGUUAUAACCUGGUUAUAACCUAGUUAUAACCUGGUUUUAACC